RNAcentral lists this non-coding RNA (29 nucleotides) under Mus musculus (house mouse). The record is from RNAcentral. Lineage: Eukaryota; Metazoa; Chordata; Mammalia; Rodentia; Muridae.
UCAGGCUGAUACUAAAAUGCUCAGGACCU